UCAGCGACCAUGGGGGGCACCAUCCACUGUAAGACAGACGACACCGGUGGGGGAGAGUUAGUUUAGGGCACCACAGGCUGGACCCUGCAGAGGGGCGGGGGCUGGGCCACGUAGGGCUCUAACCACAGGGAGGCUGCGAAGGGGGAACCCGGAAUGUACCAGGUCGACAAGCUGGGGAAAACGGGCAGAUUCUGGACCGGCACUGGGUUGAACCAGCAGGAGGCAGCAGGAGGGUGGAACAGGGAUGUCCAGUUUCAGCAUCAGACUCAACUAUGUGAAGAAGUGAGUCGCUAAGUCUCACUAAGCCUAAGAGAUUAGGCCCCUCCUCUCGAAGCAUCAGAGAAUCCACGAGAGAGAAGAGGGAGAAGAAGAGGGAGACAGAACAACGGGGAGAGAUGGACCCUGAAAGCCCCGUGAGGCUUUGAGGUCAAGGAGACACAUAUUCAGAAACUCAGUGACACGUGGAGAGAGAUGCUUGAGGGAGCUAUGGAGACAGGGAAAAGAGGCAAGACAAAGGAAACAAUGGCGAUAACAUGGUAACAACAACAACAACAACAAUAAUAAUAAGUUACAGUAAUAACAGCCAGCACAUAAAGCAGCUACGACAUCCCAGGCAGAGUUCUGAGACUUCCUGUGAACUCACUCAUGUAAUCCCCAGCCGCCCAAUGGGGUAGAGGCUGUGGUCCCAUUCUACAGAUGAGGAAACCAAGGGUCAGAAGCCAUCAGUGACUUGCCCAGAGUUCUCCACUUAGGAAGUGGAUGAGCAGAGGAGGAAAACAAAGAGGAGAGGGGGGGAGGGGCGCCUGGGUGGCUCAGUCGGUUAAACAUCCGACUCUGGAUUUCAGCUCAGGUCACGAUCUUGCGGUUGGUGGCUUCGAGCCCUGGGUCGGGCUCUGCACUGUCAGUGCGGAGCCCGCUUGGGAUUCUCUUUCUCUCCACUCUCUGCCCUCCCCCCUCUCAAAAUGAAUAAAUAAACUUAAAAAGAAAAAAGAGGAAUGGAGGAAACACAAUGGAGGCAUAGAUGCAGAAAAGUGGGGAAAGCGUCAGGAAGAGUGGAAGAGGGACCCAAAUCUGAUGGAGAAAAGCCGCCCUGACUGGAGUUUUCUAGACACCAGGCCAGGCCAUGCACCCUGUAGGCUUUAUUUCAAGCCUCAAAGCUGCCCCAUGAGGUGGGGUUAAAAUUAGCCCCAUUAUAGAGCUCUUCCUGCCCUUGGGUCCUGUCCCCAUGCUUUAAUAAGAAUAUAAAAAAAUUAGCCCCAUUAUUCAGAUAGAAACACUGAGGCUGGUGAGAGAGAGAAGCGGCUCAUCCAAGAUAUAGUAGGUUGGACGGUUGGAUGGUGCCCCACACACACACGAAAGAAAGAAAGAAAGAAAGAAAGAAAGAAAGAAAGAAAGAAAGAAAGAAAGAAAGAAAAAGAAAGAAAGAAAGAAAGGAAGGAAGAAAGAAAGGAAGGUGCCUCAAACCUGUGAAUGGGACCUAAUUUGGCCAAAAGGUUUUUGCAGCUGUGACUAAGUUAAUGACCUUGAGAUCCUCCUGCAUUAUCUGCCUGGACCCUAAAUCCAAUGACAAGUAUCCUUAUGAGAGAAAGGCAGAGGGAGAUCCAGAUUGGAGUGAUGUGGCCACAAGCCAAGAAAUGCCAGGAGCCACCAGAAGCUGGGAGAUGCGAGGAAGGAUCCUCUCCUGGAGCCUUCAGAGGGACCAUGGCCCUGUCGACACCUUGAUUUGGGCCUCCGGGCCUCCGGAGCUGUGAGAGAAUAAAUUUCUGUUGUUUUCAGUCA
This is a long non-coding RNA of Panthera uncia (snow leopard), 1779 nucleotides long. RefSeq lists it as uncharacterized. NCBI's taxonomy places the organism in Eukaryota, Metazoa, Chordata, Mammalia, Carnivora, Felidae. The record is from RefSeq and is a predicted model, not a curated record. The transcript has 2 exons.